Molecule: small RNA, 29 nt
Filed under: Bombyx mori (domestic silkworm)
Lineage: Eukaryota; Metazoa; Arthropoda; Insecta; Lepidoptera; Bombycidae
Description: piRNA piR-bmo-1283008
Source: RNAcentral
UGAUUGAACCUGGUCCAGUUCAUGUGCGA